UUAUGGGAAAUGCACAAACUGGUGUGA
This 27-nucleotide non-coding RNA is filed under the name Homo sapiens (human). The record is from RNAcentral. Lineage: Eukaryota; Metazoa; Chordata; Mammalia; Primates; Hominidae.